RNAcentral lists this microRNA precursor (197 nucleotides) under Trifolium pratense (red clover). RNAcentral describes it as "pre miRNA MIR159". It matches the Rfam family "MIR159 microRNA precursor family". The record is from RNAcentral. Lineage: Eukaryota; Viridiplantae; Streptophyta; Magnoliopsida; Fabales; Fabaceae.
AGAAGUAAAAUGGAGCUCCUUUCUUUCCAAUACGAAGGGCUAAGUAGAGCCAAGAGCUGUCAUCUCAUGCAUUUGGUUAACCUUAAAUGUUUGUCGGUUAUACAAUGUAAGUUUGACCAAGUGCAUGAUGUGAGAGCAACUCCACCCGUCUGCUUUGUCCUACCAUUGAAUUGUAGGGAGCUUCAUGUUUCACUCUC